AGUGAACGCUGGCGGUAGGCCUAACACAUGCAAGUCGAACGGCAGCACAGUAAGAGCCUGCUCUUACGGGUGGCGAGUGGCGGACGGGUGAGGAAUACAUCGGAAUCUACUUUUUCGUGGGGGAUAACGGAGGGAAACUUACGCUAAUACCGCAUACGACCUACGGGUGAAAGCAGGGGAUCUUCGGACCUUGCGCGAUUGAAUGAGCCGAUGUCGGAUUAGCUAGUUGGCGGGGUAAAGGCCCACCAAGGCGACGAUCCGUAGCUGGUCUGAGAGGAUGAUCAGCCACACUGGAACUGAGACACGGUCCAGACUCCUACGGGAGGCAGCAGUGGGGAAUAUUGGACAAUGGGCGCAAGCCUGACCCAGCCAUACCGCGUGAGUGAAGAAGGCCUUCGGGUUGUAAAGCCCUUUUGUUGGGAAAGAACAGCAGCAUGUUAAUACCCCGCUGUUCUGACGGUACCCAAAGAAUAAGCACCGGCUAACUUCGUG
RNAcentral lists this ribosomal RNA (492 nucleotides) under uncultured bacterium. Its description in RNAcentral is "partial 16S ribosomal RNA". It matches the Rfam family "Bacterial small subunit ribosomal RNA", at positions 29 to 507 of the family's 1533-position model. The record is from RNAcentral.